RNAcentral lists this ribosomal RNA (431 nucleotides) under uncultured bacterium. RNAcentral describes it as "partial 16S ribosomal RNA". It matches the Rfam family "Bacterial small subunit ribosomal RNA", at positions 29 to 507 of the family's 1533-position model. The record is from RNAcentral.
AACGAACGCUGGCGGCAGGCUUAACACAUGCAAGUCGAACGCCCCGCAAGGGGAGUGGCAGCCGGGUGAGUAACGCGUGGGAACAUACCCUUUCCUGCGGAAUAGCUCCGGGAAACUGGAAUUAAUACCGCAUACGCCCUACGGGGGAAAGAUUUAUCGGGGAAGGAUUGGCCCGCGUUGGAUUAGCUAGUUGGUGGGGUAAAGGCCUACCAAGGCGACGAUCCAUAGCUGGUCUGAGAGGAUGAUCAGCCACAUUGGGGCUGAGACACGGCCCAAACUCCUACGGGAGGCAGCAGUGGGGAAUAUUGGACAAUGGGCGCAAGCCUGAUCCAGCCAUGCCGCGUGAGUGAUGAAGGCCUUAGGGUUGUAAAGCUCUUUCACCGAUGAAGAUAAUGACGGUAGUCGGAGAAGAAGCCCCGGCUAACUUCGUG